AGCUGAUCGUCCUUGGCAAAAUGUUUAGAUUCGUUGGAGGUAGUCUGGGAGCGGCAGUUAAUUCCGAAUCCAUCGUCUACCAGCGAACGUUGUUUUUGGAUUUGUGUGUCCGUCCGUGUUAGUUCCUUAUUUAUAGUUCAUAUCAAGCAGUGUAUUCAAUCGGUCUAGCUGGUUGAUCUGUUUGGAGGAUGGAAUCUUGACUGAACGAAUUUUCACCGCUUAUUUUUCAAGUGGAUAGGUAAAUAGAGAAGAUAGAAGGGAUUGAUUGUUUGUCGUUGGACUA
Molecule: long non-coding RNA, 283 nt
Organism: Macrobrachium nipponense
Lineage: Eukaryota; Metazoa; Arthropoda; Malacostraca; Decapoda; Palaemonidae
Exons: 3
Source: RefSeq, a predicted model, not a curated record